UCACCGUCUGCGAUCCAAUACCAUCACAGCCUAUACAAUCAACUAAAGCAGGGGUACCCAACCUGUGGUCCAUAGACACCACGGUUAAUGGUAGGAGUCCAUGGCAAAAAACCCUCGAAAAGCAACUCAGCUGGAACAUCUGCAAUUGUCCAGCUGUUAUGAAUGCAUAGUUGGAAACUUGCUGGUCCUUUGGCUUACAAUUCAGAUGUAUUGCAAAC
Molecule: long non-coding RNA, 218 nt
Organism: Mobula hypostoma (lesser devil ray)
Lineage: Eukaryota; Metazoa; Chordata; Chondrichthyes; Myliobatiformes; Myliobatidae
Exons: 3
Source: RefSeq, a predicted model, not a curated record